UACGGAGGGUGCGAGCGUUACUCGGAAUUACUGGGCGUAAAGCGUGCGCAGGCGGCCCGUUAAGACAGGCGUGAAAUCCCUGGGCUCAACCUAGGAAUUGCGCUUGUGACUGGCGGGCUAGAGUACGGUAGAGGGGGGUGGUAUUCCUGGUGUAGCAGUGAAAUGCGUAGAGAUCAGGAGGAACACCGAUGGCGAAGGCGGCCCCCUGGGCCUGUACUGACGCUCAUGCACGAAAGCGUGGGGAGCAAACAGG
RNAcentral lists this ribosomal RNA (253 nucleotides) under uncultured microorganism. RNAcentral describes it as "partial 16S ribosomal RNA". It matches the Rfam family "Bacterial small subunit ribosomal RNA", at positions 524 to 776 of the family's 1533-position model. The record is from RNAcentral.